CGGGCCAGUAUUAAGCAUUACCCCGUGGUGGGGUUCCCGAGCGAUCAUAAGGGAGCUGACUGCAAAUUUGCCGUCAUCGACUUCAAGGUUCGACUCGAGCAAUAGUGAGAGAACGUUGCCGCAGGCAACGGCCCGAAGGGUGAGGAGCUUUAGCUCCGAAUAAUCCUUCCCGCUAUAGAA
Molecule: small RNA, 180 nt
Filed under: Salmonella enterica subsp. enterica serovar Cubana str. 76814
Lineage: Bacteria; Pseudomonadati; Pseudomonadota; Gammaproteobacteria; Enterobacterales; Enterobacteriaceae
Description: RtT RNA
Rfam family: RtT RNA (bases 39-180)
About the family: This family represents a bacterial cis-regulatory element known as RtT RNA. The exact function of RtT is unknown although it is thought that it may be involved in changing the cellular response in relation to amino acid starvation.
Source: RNAcentral